UACGGAGGGUGCGAGCGUUAAUCGGAAUUACUGGGCGUAAAGCGCGCGUAGGUGGCCAGUUAAGUCGGAUGUGAAAGCCCCGGGCUUAACCUGGGAACUGCAUUCGAUACUGCCUGGCUAGAGUGUGGUAGAGGAGAGCGGAAUUCCCGGUGUAGCGGUGAAAUGCGUAGAUAUCGGGAGGAACAUCAGUGGCGAAGGCGGCUCUCUGGACCAACACUGACGCUGAGGUGCGAAAGCGUGGGUAGCAAACAGG
This 253-nucleotide ribosomal RNA is filed under the name uncultured bacterium. RNAcentral's name for it is "partial 16S ribosomal RNA". It matches the Rfam family "Bacterial small subunit ribosomal RNA", at positions 524 to 776 of the family's 1533-position model. The record is from RNAcentral.